CACUCCUGCGGGAGGCAGCAGUGGGGAAUAUUGCACAAUGGGCGCAAGCCUGAUGCAGCCAUGCCGCGUGUAUGAAGAAGGCCUUCGGGUUGUAAAGUACUUUCAGCGGGGAGGAAGGCGAUAAGGUUAAUAACCUUGUCGAUUGACGUUACCCGCAGAAGAAGCACCGGCUAACUCCGUGCCAGCAGCCGCGGUAAUACGGAGGGUGCAAGCGUUAAUCGGAAUUACUGGGCGUAAAGCGCACGCAGGCGGUCUGUCAAGUCGGAUGUGAAAUCCCCGGGCUCAACCUGGGAACUGCAUUCGAAACUGGCAGACUAGAGUCUUGUAGAGGGGGGUAGAAUUCCAGGUGUAGCGGUGAAAUGCGUAGAGAUCUGGAGGAAUACCGGUGGCGAAGGCGGCCCCCUGGACAAAGACUGACGCUCAGGUGCGAAAGCGUGGGGAGCAAACAGGAUUAGAUACCCCAGUAGUCCCAUGA
RNAcentral lists this ribosomal RNA (475 nucleotides) under uncultured organism. RNAcentral describes it as "partial 16S ribosomal RNA". It matches the Rfam family "Bacterial small subunit ribosomal RNA", at positions 334 to 800 of the family's 1533-position model. The record is from RNAcentral.